This 260-nucleotide long non-coding RNA is filed under the name Panax ginseng (ginseng). RNAcentral's name for it is "long non-coding RNA (PGIN_LNC006582)". The record is from RNAcentral. Lineage: Eukaryota; Viridiplantae; Streptophyta; Magnoliopsida; Apiales; Araliaceae.
CCCAUACUUUUUAACAAACUCAAAGCCACACCAAACCAUUUUAAACUUUGUUUAAUAAACUCAUUUCAAAAAAUCUAUUAGCAUUAUAUAUAGUAACCAUUUUAAACUGUCGCAAAUUAAAAAUCCAUCUAAGUCAUAGAGUUGAGUAGGAGUUGGAUCAUAAAAAACAAGAAAUACAAUCAACAAAUAACCAACAAACACACUAACCCAAAUUAUAUUAAGCCAAAAGCAUGAAUAAAAUAUAAGAAAUCAAUCCCCAC